Non-coding RNA from Brassica napus (rape), 150 nucleotides. The record is from Rfam. Lineage: Eukaryota; Viridiplantae; Streptophyta; Magnoliopsida; Brassicales; Brassicaceae.
GAAAUAUAAGAACCCGUCUCUUAACUUUUAACUAAAACAAACUAUGAACCGGUUCUUAAAUAUCUUAGUUUUAAAAACCGGUUCUUAAAUAUUUAAGAACCGGUUCUUAGUUUUUUUAGUUAAAAGUUAAGAGACGGGUUCUUAUAUUUC